This 253-nucleotide ribosomal RNA is filed under the name uncultured bacterium. RNAcentral's name for it is "partial 16S ribosomal RNA". It matches the Rfam family "Bacterial small subunit ribosomal RNA", at positions 524 to 776 of the family's 1533-position model. The record is from RNAcentral.
UACGUAGGGUGCGAGCGUUAAUCGGAAUUACUGGGCGUAAAGUGUGCGCAGGCGGCUUGGCAAGUCGAGUGUGAAAUCCCCGGGCUUAACUUGGGAAUUGCGCUCGAAACCACCUGGCUAGAGUCCGGAAGAGGAGAGUGGAAUUCCUGGUGUAGCGGUGAAAUGCGCAGAUAUCAGGAAGAACACCCGUGGCGAAGGCGGCUCUCUGGGACGGUACUGACGCUGAGACGCGAAAGCGUGGGGAGCGAACAGG